UUGUGGAGGAGGACGCCGAAGGUGGGGCUGAUGACUGGGUGAAGUCGUAACAAGGUAGCCGUACCGGAAGGCGCGGCUGGAUCACCUCCUAACAGGGAGACAACAACUGAUCGUGAUGGCUGAGCUAUUUACUUCUUAGUCCACGAUCCUGUCACCUUAGGUCGAUCGGUACCUCAACUUAAAAACCAAAUACAAGCUGAGAAAUUAGUUUUAGAUUGGCAAUUGAGUUCAGUUCCUAAACUUGUCUAGGUCACACCCAACAAGGGUUCCUGGGCCAUUAGCUCAGGUGGUUAGAGCGCACCCCUGAUAAGGGUGAGGUCCCUGGUUCAAGUCCAGGAUGGCCCAUUCGGUGUUGGGGGUAUAGCUCAGUUGGUAGAGCGCCUGCUUUGCAAGCAGGAUGUCAGCGGUUCGAGUCCGCUUACCUCCACUGAUCCAUCCCUUGACAAAGAAAGCAAGGAAAUCCUUGUUAGUUGUUUGAUUUAGACUUUAGUUUUUCUGAAUGAACCUAGCUUCCUAUCAUCCCUAUCUAUAAAAAUUUAGGUUGAAAGGAUGCUGGGCUCUCUACAUUUAUUUUAGAUGUAGUAGUAGUUCAGUAGAACCUUGAAAACUGCAUAGGUGAGUCUGGAAAGAAUAAAGCAUCUCAUGGAUGAAAUAUUCUUUUUGAUUAUCAACGAUCAACUAAUUUAAAUUAGUUGAUUCGAGGUGAUUUUUAUAAAGAAUAUUCCUUAAUUCUUGAGUAAGAGCCGAGACUCUAUGGGUUACUUUUGAUCUAUAGAGUAUGAAAUGGUCAAGCUACAA
This 798-nucleotide unclassified non-coding RNA is filed under the name uncultured Prochlorococcus sp. Its description in RNAcentral is "partial 16S-23S ribosomal RNA intergenic spacer; may also contain 16S ribosomal RNA and 23S ribosomal RNA". The stretch from base 355 to 427 matches the Rfam family "tRNA". Lineage: Bacteria; Bacillati; Cyanobacteriota; Cyanophyceae; Synechococcales; Prochlorococcaceae. The record is from RNAcentral.